CUACGGGUGGCAGCAGUGGGGAAUUUUGGACAAUGGGCGCAAGCCUGAUCCAGCCAUUCCGCGUGAGUGAAGAAGGCCUUCGGGUUGUAAAGCUCUUUCGCAAGGGAAGAAAACUUAUCCUCUAACAUAGGGUGAGGUUGACGGUACCUUGAUAAGAAGCACCGGCUAACUACGUGCCAGCAGCCGCGGUAAUACGUAGGGUGCGAGCGUUAAUCGGAAUUACUGGGCGUAAAGCGUGCGCAGGCUGUUUUGUAAGUCAGAUGUGAAAUCCCCGAGCUCAACUUGGGAACUGCGUUUGAAACUACAAGACUAGAAUAUGGCAGAGGGGGGUAGAAUUCCAUGUGUAGCAGUGAAAUGCGUAGAGAUGUGGAGGAAUACCAAUGGCGAAGGCAGCCCCCUGGGAUAAUAUUGACGCUCAUGCACGAAAGCGUGGGGAGCAAACAGGAUUAGAUACCCCUAGUAGUC
This 465-nucleotide ribosomal RNA is filed under the name uncultured bacterium. Its description in RNAcentral is "partial 16S ribosomal RNA". It matches the Rfam family "Bacterial small subunit ribosomal RNA", at positions 339 to 795 of the family's 1533-position model. The record is from RNAcentral.